Molecule: long non-coding RNA, 4945 nt
Filed under: Gossypium barbadense (sea-island cotton)
Lineage: Eukaryota; Viridiplantae; Streptophyta; Magnoliopsida; Malvales; Malvaceae
Description: long non-coding RNA (GBAR_LNC008788)
Source: RNAcentral
UUGGAGCUAAGUGCAACAAAUAGCAAGGUUCAACAAAAAGCUUGCCGAGCAAGAAUCGAGACUUGCGGCAGAAACAAAGAAGAAAAAUGAAAUAAAUUUUAAGCAAAGCUAAAAUAGAGAGUAUAUGGAUGAAAUCUUGAUUGAAUUCAUUCAUUUUUUUUUAAAAUGGCAUAAAGCCUAUUUAUACAAGCUUACAACUUGACAACUUAGUUGGAAUACAACUAAGUUUCAUCAUUACAUCCACUUAAAAUAAAUCACCACCUACUACCACUAACAAACUUAGUUGGAAUACAACUAAGUUUCAUCAUUACAUCCACUUAAAAUAAAUCACCACCUACUACCACUAACAAACUUAGUUGGAAUACAACUAAGUUACAUCAUUACAUCCAAAUAAUAAUAAUAAUAAUAAUAAUAAUAAUAAUAAAACAUGUGAUUGCUACAUGCUAACCAUUGCUUCAAUACUCCUCCUUGGUUUGCAUGGAGCAAACACCUAGCUUCCUUCUUAGACAUUCGAACCUUGUGACAUUAAGGGCUUUAGUCAAAAUGUCUGCAAGUUGAUCCUCAGAAUUACAAUGGAUCAGCUUCACUUCCUGAGCUUGCUCCAUUUCUCGAACAACAUGCAACUUGAUGCUGAAAUGCUUUGUUCUUCCAUGGAACACUGGAUUUUUAGCAAUUGCAACUGAAGAUUGGUUGUCACAGAAGAUCUCAGUAGCUUCCUUUUGAUGCACUUUCAAAUCAGCUAAGAUUUUCCUUAGCCAAAUGGCUUGGUUGACAGCACUUGCAGCUGCCACAUAUUCUGCUUCAGCAGUAGAUUGAGCCACCAGACUUUGCUUCUUCGAGCUCCAGCAAAACAUGGCUGAACCAAGGUUGAAAGCAUACCCUGAGGUGCUUUUCAUGUCAUCUAUCGAGCCAGCCCAGUCACUAUCAGUGUAGCCAACCAGCUUCAGAUUUCCUUCCUUGCUGUACCUUAAACCAUAGCUCAAAGUGCCUUUGACAUAUCUAAGCACUCUCUUAGCAGCUUGUAAAUGCUUUUUAUUGCAACAAUGCAAGAACCUUGAGAGAAAUCCUACAGCAUACAUUAUGUCUGGUCUAGUGGCAGUUAAAUAUAACAGACAACCAACUAGACUUCUGUAGGUUGUUUCACAAACCUUCUCAAAAUCACCUUGGCUCGAUAGUUUUUCUCCAACAGCAACAGGUGUUUUAGUUGCUUUACUAUUUUGCAUGGAGAACUUGGUCAGAAUCUUUGUGGCAAAGUUUCUCUGACUUAGAAAUAUCCCAUUUUGUGCUUGAGUCACCUCCAUUCCAAGGAAAUAAGACAUUUCCCCUAGAUCAGACAUUUCAAAUACUUCUUGCAUCUUGGUCUUGAAAUCGACCAGCACUGCUCGAUCUCCUCCUGUCACCAGCAGGUCAUCAACAUAUAGGGAUACAAUGAGCUGUGUUUGUGUCCCUUGCUUCUUGACAUACAGUGUUGACUCACUCUUGCUUCGAUCGAAUCCCAAAUUAGUCAAGUAGCCAUCGAUUCUGCUGUACCAGGCCCUUGGAGCCUGUUUUAAGCCAUAUAGGGCCUUCUUCAGUUUGUAGACCAUAUGCUCUCUGCCAGCUAUCUCAAACCCUUGUGGUUGUUCAACAUAGAUCUCUUCAUCUAAGAAACCAUUCAGAAAGGCUGAUUUCACAUCGAGUUGAUGGAUCUUCCACUCGAGCUGUGCUGCUAAGGCAAUCAGUAAUCUGAUGGUGUCUAGCCUGGCCACUGGUGCAAAGGUCUCCAAGUAGUCCAGGCCAUACCUCUGACUGAACCCCUUGACAACUAGCCUUGCUUUCAGUUUUUUCAAGGUACCAUCAGCAUUUUGCUUGGCUUUGUACACCCAUUUCACCCCAAUUAUCUUCCUUUUGACUGGCCUUUCAACUAAUUCCCAGGUCUGGUUCUUCUCAAUCAUGCUAAUCUCCUCAGCCAUUGCCUGCUUCCACUCUUGCUGAGCUUCAGCCUCUUCAAAAUUGCUUGGUUCAGCUAUGGCUACAUGAGCUCUUUCAUAAAUCUCAGUCAAUGGUCUUGUUCCUCUAACUGGUUCAUCAUCAAUGUCCAUUUCAGGAACAUUUUGAUCUGGCUCAGCUUGAUCUGCUGCAAGUCCUUCUGAAACUUCCUCAGGUUCAUGUUUUUCCCAGUUCCAACAUGACUUUUCAUCAAAUACCACAUCCCUACUGACUGACACUUUCUUUGUUGAAGGAUCCAAGAUCCUAUAGCCCUUCUUAACAGUGCUGUAGCCCACCAAAAUACCAGGUCAAGCCCUUUCAGACAAUUUGUCCCUUUUGACAGCAGGUACAUGAGCAUAACAGAUGCAUCCAAAGACCUUCAGAUGAGCCAGUGAUGGCUUGAAUCCAAACCAGGCUUCGAAUGGAGUCUUCUGAUCCAAGGCCUUGGUUGGAAGCCUAUUUUGAAUGUAGUUUGCAGUGUUAACUGCCUCUGCCCAUAGUGCUUGAGGCAGAUUCUUCUGAAUCAUCAAGCACCUGGCCAUAUCCAUCAAACUCCUAUUCUUCCUUUCACUUACACCAUUUUGCUGAGGUGUAUAUGUGUUGGUAAGUUGAUGUUUGAUGCCUGCCUUAUCACAGAAGGCUUGGAACUGAGCUGAGGUGUACUCAGUCCCAUUAUCAGACCUUAUGGACUUCAGCUUGCAACCUGUUUCAGUCUCAGCAGCAGUCUUGAACUUCCAAAACACUGAGGUCGCCUCUGAUUUCUGUUUUAGGAAGUAAAGCCAGCAAUAUCUUGAAAAAUCAUCAAUGAACAGUAUGAAGUACCUGUUUCCACUUAAUGACUCAGUCCUCAUAGGGCCACACACAUUAGUGUGCACCAGUUGGAGUUUUUCAGAGGCUCUCCAGGCUUGAUUCGAGGGAAAUGGGAGUCUGGCCUGCUUUCCUAGCUGACACACUUCACACACAUCAUCAUGAUCCACUGAGUUGAUGAAGUUUUCAGCCAAGUCCUCUCUGACCAUUCGAGCCAUCGAUCUGAAGUUGGCAUGUCCCAGUCUUUGAUGCCAAAGCUUGGAUUCAUCUGAUGUGACUGUGUAGGCAAUGUCUGACUCCCUGGUCCAGUCAACUACAAAGCUCUUAUUAGCCAUAGGAACUGCCAUCAGCUUGGAUCCACUUGGAUCAUUGAUUUGGCAUUGGUUGUCUUUGAACACAACAGAAUAACCUUUCUCCAGCAACUGAGCUAUGCUGAGCAGGUUUCUGUCAAUUUCAGGCACCAAAAGCACAUUUGAAAUCACUUUGGCACCUGUGGGGGUGCAUAUCAGCACAUCACCCUUGCCUUCAGCUUGAAUAAAAUGUCCAUUUCCUAUCUUGACUUUAGUUCUGCAGCUUCUGUCUAAAGACUUGAAGAUUGCAGCAUCAGGUGUCAUGUGGUUGGUGCAUCCACUGUCUAGAAGCCAACCAGAUGAGAACUUUUCUUGAGCAGCUGAGCAUAACACAGCAAAGACUUGCUCCUCUUGGUCACUGUCCUCCUUAGCUACUCGAGCCUCAGCUUUCUUCUGUUGAAACUGACUCUGCCUUGAUUUGGCCUUGCUCUUGCAGACUCUCUCAACAUGACCCUUCUUUUUACAAUGCUGACAUACAGCAUCUGGAUUGAACCAGCAUUUUUCUUUUGGAUGACCAGCCCUUCUGCAGUGCUUGCAAGUCUGACCCUCUUUUCUUGCAACAUCAGUCCUUGGCUUGUCUCUCCAGGCCUUCUUGCCUUUGUAGGCAGUGUUUGUUCUUGCCUGAAAGGCACCUUCUUGAUGCUCCUCCAGUCUGCUUGCUCUUCUUUGCUCUUGAGCAUAUAAAGCAUUGAUCAACUCUGUCAGGGAGAUGGUGUACAGGUCCCUUGAGUCCUCGAGAGAUGAGAUUUUUGCCUCAUACCUCUCGGGCAGAGUUGCAAUAACCUUCUCCACUAUCCUAGCUUCCUUGAGCUGCUCUCCAAGGAGCCUUAUACUGUUAACCACAGCCAUAAUCCUGUCAGAGUACUGCUUGAUAGUUUCUUCUUCCUUCAUCUUCAAAUUCUCGAAAUCUCUCCUUAAGUUUAGCAACUGUUGCUGGCUUGUCCUCUCUGUCCCUUGAAACUCCUCUUGCAACUUGUCCCAGGCUUGUUUUGGUGAUUCACAGGCCAUAAUCCUUGUGAAAAUCACAUCUGACACUGAGUUCUGGAUGCAAGACAUGGCUUUGUGCCUCUUGGUCCUCUCAUCAGCAUGCUGCCUGAUUUGAGCCACUGUUGGAUUGCCUCUAAGUGGCUCUGGUUCAACAUCUGAGUUGACUACCUCCCACAGAUCGAAAGCUUGUAGGUAGGUCUUCAUUUUAACCACCCAUAUGUGGUAGCCUUCUCCAUUGAAGACUUGAGGUGCAGCUGGUGAAAAGCUUGAUGAAGCCAUGAAUUUGUAUAACAGAUCCCUUAAGAACUAGGCUCUGAUACCAAUUGUUGGAGCUAAGUGCAACAAAUAGCAAGGUUUCAACAAAAAGCUUGCCGAGCAAGAAUCGAGACUUGCGGCAGAAACAAAGAAGAAAAAUGAAAUAAAUUUUAAGCAAAGCUAAAAUAGAGAGUAUAUGGAUGAAAUCUUGAUUGAAUUCAUUCAUUUUUUUUAAAAUGGCAUAAAGCCUAUUUAUACAAGCUUACAACUUGACAACUUAGUUGGAAUACAACUAAGUUUCAUCAUUACAUCCACUUAAAAUAAAUCACCACCUACUACCACUAACAAACUUAGUUGGAAUACAACUAAGUUUCAUCAUUACAUCCACUUAAAAUAAAUCACCACCUACUACCACUAACAAACUUAGUUGGAAUACAACUAAGUUUCAUCAUUACAUCCACUUAAAAUAAAUCACCACCUACUACCACUAACAAACUUAGUUGGAAUACAACUAAGUUACAUCAUUACAUCCAAAUAAUAAUAAUAAUAAUAAUAAUAAAACAUGUGAUUGCUACAUG